Molecule: ribosomal RNA, 253 nt
Filed under: uncultured bacterium
Lineage: Bacteria
Description: partial 16S ribosomal RNA
Rfam family: Bacterial small subunit ribosomal RNA
Source: RNAcentral
UACGAAGGUGGCAAGCGUUACUCGGAAUUACUAGGCGUAAAGCGCAGGUAGGUGGUUAGGUAAGUCCGUAAUGAAAUCUCCCGGCUUAACUGGGAGGGGUUUAGGGAUACUGCUUGACUCGAGUGUGGGAGAGGGUACUGGAAUUCCAGGUGUAGCGGUGAAAUGCGUAGAUAUCUGGAGGAACACCAAUGGCGAAAGCAGGUACCUGGCCCAAUACUGACACUGAGCUGCGAAAGCUAGGGGAGCAAACAGG